UUCCAGACUCCUACGGGAGGCAGCAGUGGGGGAUAUUGCACAAUGGGGGGGACCCUGAUGCAGCGACGCCGCGUGGGUGAAGGAGCGUUUCGGCGCGUAAAGCCCUAUCGGCAGGGAAGAAGAUGACGGUACCUGACCAAGAAGCCCCGGCUAACUCCGUGCCAGCAGCCGCGGUAAUACGGAGGGUGCAAGCGUUGUCCGGAAUCAUUGGGCGUAAAGAGUUCGUAGGCGGUAUGUUAAGUCUGGUGUUAAAUGCAGAAGCUCAACUUCUGUUCGGCACUGGAUACUGGCAAACUAGAAUGCGGUAGAGGUAAAGGGAAUUCCUGGUGUAGCGGUGAAAUGCUUAGAUAUCAGGAGGAACAUCGGUGGCGUAAGCGCUUUACUGGGCCGUAAUUGACGCUGAGGAACGAAAGCCAGGGUAGCAAAUGGGAUUAGAUACCCGGGUA
RNAcentral lists this ribosomal RNA (446 nucleotides) under uncultured bacterium. RNAcentral's name for it is "bacterial SSU rRNA". It matches the Rfam family "Bacterial small subunit ribosomal RNA", at positions 329 to 792 of the family's 1533-position model. The record is from RNAcentral.